This is a long non-coding RNA of Rhipicephalus sanguineus (brown dog tick), 747 nucleotides long. RefSeq lists it as uncharacterized. The transcript has 2 exons. NCBI's taxonomy places the organism in Eukaryota, Metazoa, Arthropoda, Arachnida, Ixodida, Ixodidae. The record is from RefSeq and is a predicted model, not a curated record.
UGAAAGCCACGUGCAUAAAAAUGAAUGUUAAAGAUUUGCUAAAAACUGCGCAUAACAAGCUGCUGCCCAACAUCAACAUGCACUUUGUGCCCAAGCAUGCUGCUAUUGUCAAAUUUGACGCAAAACAUGAUUUUAAUUCAUGACCUUGAGAAAUAGUUGGAAUGCUUAUUCUGAUUAUGGACUGAAAUGUUGCUAAUCUUGGAAGUUAUUUGUUCUUGAACACAUUGCACACUUGGUUCAGUGAAUAUGCUUGGUCAAUAUGAAUGUUUUAGAGUCUGGGCAUGCACUCUGAAUAAUGUCUUUAAAUAGAGAAACCAAAGCAAAUUUUCACAUUGUGCUUUUUAUUGACAUUUCAGGAGCAACACAGUAGGAUGACUAAAGGACGUAACACUUCUGGACGGGAAUUAUAUGUUGAAGAAUUGUUUUGAGAUGUGCAAUAACGAAGAUAUUGGCAUUCUCCUUGCACCAUCAUCUGCGAGCUGCAAAGGCUCUCCACCUAAAGUAUGACAAGGAAGCAGUAGACUCAUCAUUCACGAUGCUUAUUUUAUGUGCUUCCAAGGGAUGCGGCCAAAGGACGACCUGCGGAAUAUUUGUGCGCUCGAUCGGCGCCGCAAUCUCCCGAGCAAAGUUCACCUUUGCUGAAGAUCCAAGCGUAAGAAACUGAAGCAGCAGACGGCUUCAAGCCAUGAUCUGUGCGAAUCACCUUUAUGGGAGCUGCAAAAAAGAAUAAAAAGUGUAUCCCCAGUG